UACGUAGGGUGCAAGCGUUGUCCGGAAUUAUUGGGCGUAAAGAGCUCGUAGGCGGUUUGUCGCGUCUGCUGUGAAAACUCGGGGCUUAACCCCGGGCCUGCAGUGGGUACGGGCAGACUAGAGUGCGGUAGGGGAGACUGGAAUUCCUGGUGUAGCGGUGAAAUGCGCAGAUAUCAGGUGGAACACCGGUGGCGAAGGCGGUGGUCUGGGCCGAAAUUGACGCUGAGGAGCGAAAGCGUGGGGAGCAAACAGG
RNAcentral lists this ribosomal RNA (253 nucleotides) under uncultured bacterium. Its description in RNAcentral is "partial 16S ribosomal RNA". It matches the Rfam family "Bacterial small subunit ribosomal RNA", at positions 524 to 776 of the family's 1533-position model. The record is from RNAcentral.